AGUGAACGCUGGCGGUAGGCCUAACACAUGCAAGUCGAACGGCAGCACAGUAAGAGCUUGCUCUUACGGGUGGCGAGUGGCGGACGGGUGAGGAAUACAUCGGAAUCUACUUUUUCGUGGGGGAUAACGUAGGGAAACUUACGCUAAUACCGCAUACGACCUACGGGUGAAAGCAGGGGAUCUUCGGACCUUGCGCGAUUCAAUGAGCCGAUGUCGGAUUAGCUAGUUGGCGGGGUAAAGGCCCACCAAGGCGACGAUCCGUAGCUGGUCUGAGAGGAUGAUCAGCCACACUGGAACUGAGACACGGUCCAGACUCCUACGGGAGGCAGCAGUGGGGAAUAUUGGACAAUGGGCGCAAGCCUGAUCCAGCCAUACCGCGUGGGUGAAGAAGGCCUUCGGGUCGUAAAGCCCUUUUGUUGGGAAAGAAAAGCAGCAGGUUAAUACCCCGCUGUUCUGACGGUACCCAAAGAAUAAGCACCGGCUAACUUCGUG
This 492-nucleotide ribosomal RNA is filed under the name uncultured bacterium. RNAcentral describes it as "partial 16S ribosomal RNA". It matches the Rfam family "Bacterial small subunit ribosomal RNA", at positions 29 to 507 of the family's 1533-position model. The record is from RNAcentral.